Long non-coding RNA from Bufo bufo (common toad), 318 nucleotides. RefSeq lists it as uncharacterized. Lineage: Eukaryota; Metazoa; Chordata; Amphibia; Anura; Bufonidae. The transcript is spliced from 3 exons. The record is from RefSeq and is a predicted model, not a curated record.
AUGAGGCUCAGUGGAGGCACGAAUAGUUUCUUCCACUUGCACAAUCUGAAAAUUCUGAACCAUGGCUAGUAAAAGGAAGACAAGACUGGCAACUUCCACUCACAUGAGUAACUUCAUUGGAACUGGUCGAGAAAUGCUGCCUUCUGAACUCCCAACUCUGCGUGAUGUUCUAAGAUAUGGCCUUCUGCUAAGAGAGCAGAGUGGAGAGAAUGUCAGAAAUUACCCAGCAGCCACUCUUGCAAAGGAUAUUUAUCCAAAAGGGCUUGAAAAGUGGGAGCUAGCAAACAGUUGUUUUGUGGUGCCAAUUUUAAAUUUUAG